RNAcentral lists this ribosomal RNA (301 nucleotides) under uncultured bacterium. Its description in RNAcentral is "partial 16S ribosomal RNA". It matches the Rfam family "Bacterial small subunit ribosomal RNA", at positions 509 to 809 of the family's 1533-position model. The record is from RNAcentral.
CAGUCGCCGCGGGAAUACGUAGGGUGCAAGCGUUAAUCGGAAUUACUGGGCGUAAAGCGUGCGCAGGCGGUUAUAUAAGACAGAUGUGAAAUCCCCGGGCUCAACCUGGGAACUGCAUUUGUGACUGUAUAGCUAGAGUACGGCAGAGGGGGAUGGAAUUCCGCGUGUAGCAGUGAAAUGCGUAGAUAUGCGGAGGAACACCGAUGGCGAAGGCAAUCCCCUGGGCCUGUACUGACGCUCAUGCACGAAAGCGUGGGGAGCAAACAGGAUUAGAUACCCCAGUAGUCCCUGUCUUUAUACA